Molecule: ribosomal RNA, 413 nt
Filed under: uncultured microorganism
Description: bacterial SSU rRNA
Rfam family: Archaeal small subunit ribosomal RNA
Source: RNAcentral
CAGCCGCCGCGGUAAUACCGGCGGCCCGAGUGGCGGUCACUAUUAUUGGGCUUAAAGCGUCCGUAGCCGGGUUGGGAAGUCCUCCGGGAAAUCUGGCCGCUUAACGGUCAGAAUGCCGGAGGAUACUCCCAGCCUAGGGAGCGGGAGAGGCCGAGGGGAUUCCCGGGGUAGGGGUGAAAUCCUAUAAUCCCGGGAGGACCACCUGUGGCGAAGGCGCUCGGCUGGAACGCGUCCGACGGGGAGGGACGAAGGCCAGGGGAGCAAACCGGAUUAGAUCCCCGGGUAGUCCUGGCUGUAAACGAUGCGGACUUUGUGUCGGACAAGCUAUGAGCUUGUCCGGUGCCGGAGGGAAACCGUUAAGUCCGCCGCCUGGGGAGUACGGCCGCAAGGCUGAAACUUAAGGAAUUGGCGGG